This 1345-nucleotide ribosomal RNA is filed under the name uncultured bacterium. Its description in RNAcentral is "bacterial SSU rRNA". It matches the Rfam family "Bacterial small subunit ribosomal RNA", at positions 28 to 1381 of the family's 1533-position model. The record is from RNAcentral.
GACGAACGUUGGCGGCGUGCUUAACACAUGCAAGUCGAACGGAAAGGCCCUGCUUUUGUGGGGUGCUCGAGUGGCGAACGGGUGAGUAACACGUGAGUAACCUGCCCUUGACUUUGGGAUAACUUCAGGAAACUGGGGCUAAUACCGGAUAGGAGCUCCUGCUGCAUGGUGGGGGUUGGAAAGUUUCGGCGGUUGGGGAUGGACUCGCGGCUUAUCAGCUUGUUGGUGGGGUAGUGGCUUACCAAGGCUUUGACGGGUAGCCGGCCUGAGAGGGUGACCGGCCACAUUGGGACUGAGAUACGGCCCAAAUUCCUACGGAAGGAACCAUGGGGAAAAAUUGACCAUGGGGGGAAACCUGAAUGCACCACCCCCCCGGGCGGAAGAACGGCCUUCGGGUGGAAAACCCUUUCCCCCGGGAACAAACCGGGAUGGACGGUAUGGGGAAAAAAACCACCGGUUACUUACUGGCCACCACCCCCGUGAAUACUAAGGGGGCAACCUUUGCCCGAAUUAAUGGGCCUAAAAGGCUUCGAAGUUGGUUAAUCCCUCCGAAAUGAUAUCCUGGGGGUUAACCCUGAGCGUGCUUUCGAUACGGGUUGACUUGAGGAAGGUAGGGGAGAAUGGAAUUCCUGGUGGAGCGGUGGAAUGCGCAGAUAUCAGGAGGAACACCAGUGGCGAAGGCGGUUCUCUGGGCCUUUCCUGACGCUGAGGAGCGAAAGCGUGGGGAGCGAACAGGCUUAGAUACCCUGGUAGUCCACGCUGUAAACGGUGGGUACUAGGUGUGGGGUCCAUUCCACGGGUUCCGUGCCGUAGCUAACGCUUUAAGUACCCCGCCUGGGGAGUACGGCCGCAAGGCUAAAACUCAAAGGAAUUGACGGGGCCCCGCACAAGCGGCGGAGCAUGCGGAUUAAUUCGAUGCAACGCGUAGAACCUUACCUGGGUUUGACAUGGAUCGGGAGCGCUCAGAGAUGGGUGUGCCUCUUUUGGGGUCGGUUCACAGGUGGUGCAUGGCUGUCGUCAGCUCGUGUCGUGAGAUGUUGGGUUAAGUCCCGCAACGAGCGCAACCCUUGUUCACUGUUGCCAGCACGUUAUGGUGGGGACUCAGUGGAGACCGCCGGGGUCAACUCGGAGGAAGGUGGGGAUGACGUCAAGUCAUCAUGCCCCUUAUGUCCAGGGCUUCACGCAUGCUACAAUGGCUGGUACAGAGAGUGGCGAGCCUGUGAGGGUGAGCGAAUCUCGGAAAGCCGGUCUCAGUUCGGAUUGGGGUCUGCAACUCGACCUCAUGAAGUCGGAGUCGCUAGUAAUCGCAGAUCAGCAACGCUGCGGUGAAUACGUUCCCGGGGCU